Molecule: long non-coding RNA, 257 nt
Filed under: Medicago truncatula (barrel medic)
Lineage: Eukaryota; Viridiplantae; Streptophyta; Magnoliopsida; Fabales; Fabaceae
Description: long non-coding RNA (MTRU_LNC007217)
Source: RNAcentral
UGAUGGCUAUCUACUCUAUUUAUAGUUUACAUUCGACUUAAAAUCUAAGCAAUCACUAGAAUGUUCCACAAGUAAACUAAAACAGAGUAGCUUAAAAUCUAAGCAAAAGCAGUUCUAGAGUGUGGCACGGCCGUGCUAAGCCUAGCACGAGCUGUGCCAAGUUUCUGACUUGAGGGAGAUAUAUUUUUGUCUCCAAAUCUUCGUAUUUUCGUACCAAAUCAGCUCCAAAACCCCUUUCUUUUGCUGGAAGACUCAAU